RNAcentral lists this long non-coding RNA (561 nucleotides) under Cyanistes caeruleus (blue tit). Its description in RNAcentral is "lncRNA (ENSCCEG00000000874.1)". Lineage: Eukaryota; Metazoa; Chordata; Aves; Passeriformes; Paridae. The record is from RNAcentral.
CUCUGUCAUAUAAGUUAUCUCCUUCCAUCCAUAGUACUGCUUUACAGGCUGAAAUAAAAAGUAGAUAAAAAGAGUUGGUACCAUUAGAUGAACCCUCUCAAUCUCUUUUUUCCUGAGGAAAGGGAACUGGGGAAAGAAGGUCAUCGUUGUUUAUUUUAGAAGUUAUUAAACCCUUGUUUUAUUUGUGUUCAGUACAGAUUACUGAGACUUAAAAGUUUGGAAGCCUGGAAAGAAAAGAAGGAGCCUGGAAAAAUACAGGCAAGAAAGAGAGAAGAAAUGAAGUAAAACAGGGCAGAAUACACUAAGAAGAUGAGGACAGAGAUGGAAAAAGAACUGUUUUACAUUUCAUUGACAAGUUGUCAUUCAGUUCCUGGGAUGAAUGGUAGCAUGGUGCCAGUUUAACAGGAGAACACUACCCUCAAGAAAUGGUUCUUUUCCAAGAAUGGCAGAAAAGAAUUUUGUACUGUCUGCGAUGGCUUUUCUCUACCUCAGCAUACAGUUAGCUAAAUUUGUCUGCUCUUAAACUCAGUAAUAAAAAAAUCAAAGAGGUUGAAAAGUGCA